CCUACGGGUGGCAGCAGUGGGGGAUAUUGCACAAUGGGGGAAACCCUGAUGCAGCGACGCCGCGUGAGUGAAGAAGGGUUUCGGCUCGUAAAGCUCUGUUGGUAGUGAAGAAAGAUAGAGGUAGUAACUGUCCUUUAUUUGACGGUAAUUACUUAGAAAGUCACGGCUAACUACGUGCCAGCAGCCGCGGUAAUACGUAGGUGGCAAGCGUUGUCCGGAUGUAUUGGGCGUAAAGCGAGUGCAGGCGGUUCAAUAAGUCUGAUGUGAAAGCCUUCGGCUCAACCGGAGAAUUGCAUCAGAAACUGUUGAACUUGAGUGCAGAAUAGGAGAGUGGAACUCCAUGUGUAGCGGUGGAAUGCGUAGAUAUAUGGAAGAACACCAGUGGCGAAGGCGGCUCUCUGGUCUGCAACUGACGCUGAGGCUCGAAAGCAUGGGUAGCGAACAGGAUUAGAUACCCCGGUAGUC
This 465-nucleotide ribosomal RNA is filed under the name uncultured bacterium. RNAcentral's name for it is "partial 16S ribosomal RNA". It matches the Rfam family "Bacterial small subunit ribosomal RNA", at positions 338 to 795 of the family's 1533-position model. The record is from RNAcentral.